GUGGGGAAUAUUGCGCAAUGGCCGAAAGGCUGACGCAGCGACGCCGCGUGGGGGAUGAAGCAUUUCGGUGUGUAAACCCCUGUUGCCCGGGACGAACAAGCAGAUUUUUCUGCUCUGACGGUACCGGGUGAGGAAGCACCGGCUAACUCCGUGCCAGCAGCCGCGGUAAUACGGAGGGUGCGAGCGUUGUCCGGAAUCACUGGGCGUAAAGGGCGCGUAGGCGGUCUGCUAAGCGUGCGGUGAAAGCCCGGGGCUCAACCCCGGGUCUGCCGUGCGAACUGGUGGACUAGAGCACUGUAGAGGCAGGUGGAAUUCCGGGUGUAGCGGUGGAAUGCGUAGAGAUCCGGAAGAACACCGGUGGCGAAGGCGGCCUGCUGAGCAGUAGCUGACGCUGAGGCGCGACAGCGUGGGGAGCAAACA
Molecule: ribosomal RNA, 420 nt
Filed under: uncultured bacterium
Lineage: Bacteria
Description: bacterial SSU rRNA
Rfam family: Bacterial small subunit ribosomal RNA
Source: RNAcentral